This 427-nucleotide ribosomal RNA is filed under the name uncultured bacterium. RNAcentral's name for it is "partial 16S ribosomal RNA". It matches the Rfam family "Bacterial small subunit ribosomal RNA", at positions 354 to 796 of the family's 1533-position model. The record is from RNAcentral.
GUGGGGAAUAUUGCGCAAUGGGGGAAACCCUGACGCAGCAAUACCGCGUGAGUGAAGAAGGUUUUCGGAUCGUAAAACUCUUUUAUUGGGGAAGAAGAAGUGACGGUACCCAAUGAAGAAGUCCCGGCUAACUACGUGCCAGCAGCCGCGGUAAUACGUAGGGGACAAGCGUUGUCCGGAAUCACUGGGCGUAAAGGGCGCGUAGGCGGUUUUAUAAGUCAGAUGUGAAAGGUACCGGCUCAACCGGUGACGUGCAUUUGAAACUGUAAGACUUGAGUACUGGAGAGGCAAGUGGAAUUCCUAGUGUAGCGGUGAAAUGCGUAGAUAUUAGGAGGAACACCGGUGGCGAAGGCGGCUUGCUGGACAGAUACUGACGCUGAGGUGCGAAAGCGUGGGGAGCGAACAGGAUUAGAAACCCCUGUAGUCC